UGAGUAACGCGUAGAUCUAGCUUCAGGUCGGGACAACACUUGGACAGAUUGUAAUACGGAUAUGCUACGGGUAAAAGGCUUGCUGACUGAAGAAGAGCUUGCGUCCGAUUAGCUAGUUGGUGGGGUAAAGGCUUACCAAGGCGGCGAUCGGUAGCUGGUCUGAGAGGAUGACCAGCCACACUGGGACUGAGACAAGGCCCAGACUCCUACGGGAGGCAGCAGUGGGGAAUUUUCCGCAAUGGGCGAAAGCCUGACGGAGCAAUACCGCGUGAGGGAACGAAGAGCUCUUGGGUUGUAAACCUCUUUUCUCAGGGAAUAAC
This 320-nucleotide ribosomal RNA is filed under the name uncultured cyanobacterium. Its description in RNAcentral is "bacterial SSU rRNA". It matches the Rfam family "Bacterial small subunit ribosomal RNA", at positions 107 to 450 of the family's 1533-position model. Lineage: Bacteria; Bacillati; Cyanobacteriota. The record is from RNAcentral.